AGUAAGUCCAGGAAGGACUGAAUUUUAUCAGCUUCAGAAGUGACUAUGAGGCAGGUGGAUCAAGAUCCACUUUGAGAAAUCCGAGGCACAGGCUACUUGGAGGAAAGCAGUGACAGACAAGGUAGAAAGGCAGUAUGGGGCCAGGUCAUAGAAAGCCUUGAACGCCACGCUACAGAGGUUGGUCUUCAUUUGAUUGGUGAUGGGGUGUUGUAUCUGUGCUUUAAAAUGGUUCUAAUCUGCUUGAAAAGUUUAAAAUGUUCCAUCCUUUUUAAAAAGUAAAAUGCUAAAAGGAAUCUAUAAGCUUGGGGAAUUUACUGUAGAAAGUCAGUAGUUCCCUUAAUGAUUUCGUUAAUUGAAUGUAGAGGUGUUGGCUGGAAGUGUAAGUAGGAAUGAGCUGGGGUGGCUGCUGGGGCACGCCUGCUUGAAAAAGGAUAAAAACCACUGUGGUCACAGGAUCAACAUGGACAUGCCUUUCCCAACAGAAAUGGGUGUUAGAAACUGAGAAAUUGGGAUAAUUUUGUUUGGGAGUGUUAUUUUUUUUUCUUUGGGAUUUUUGCUUUGAAAUGUAGGAACACACGGGGUAUAUUCUAUAAAGAAGAGUCUUGAGAAGCAGUUAAACUUUCAGGUUCCAGGACCCCUUUACUCUUCUAUAAAUUAUAGACCCCCAAAACUUUGUUCCUCCAUAUAUUUAUUAUAUUAUAAAUUAAUAUUGUUUAAUAGUAUUUGUUCAUUUAAUAUAGCAAUAAUAAAGCUUGACCUAUUAGUAUAAAUAACCAUUGUUUUUUUUUUAAGAAAAAACAACUCUAUUGUCCAAACUCCAAAAAUAAAAUUAAUUAGAAAAAAGUAGGUUUUGUUUUGCAUAUUUAAUGUCCAGCUUCAUAUAUAACAGCUGGAUUCUCACAUCUGCUUCUCCUUUCAAUUUGUUGAGAUAUCACAUGCAUCCAUGAAAAAAUGGACGAUAAAGGGCAAAUCAUUCAUUAAUUGUAUUAUUAAAUGGGACAAAUCAUUUAUUGACUUUAUCAUGAAAAUAGUUUGGACUUUGCAAUAUCAGUCUGCAGGACCCAAGGAUAUCUAGGACAUACUCUGAAUGCACUACAUUCACUGUCUCAAAUGAUACAAUCAAGCUUAACGAUCACUAGUUGAUGCCCAUGUGAGGCUCUGAAAUACAAGUGUUAUACAAAUCCAGAGGAACCAGGAAGGCACCUGGUUCUAGCUCUGUUUAGAAUCAGGAGAAGCCAAAAUGAUGUGGGGUUUUUUUUUUUGUUUGUUUUUUUAUUUAUUUUUUUAUUGGUUGUUCAAAACAUUACAAAGCUCUUGACAUAUCAUAUUUCAUACAUUAGAUUCAAGUGGGUUAUGAAUUCCCAUUUUUACCCCAAAUACAGAUUGCAGAAUCACAUCGAUUACACAUCCACAUUUUUACAUAAUGCCAUAUUAGUAACUGUUGUAUUCUGCUACCUAAAAUGAUGUUAAGCAGUAACUCUAGGUAGUUAAAGAUGAAUGAGGGAAAUGUCAGAAAGCACCCAAAAUUUGUUUUCUUUAAAUUUUGCUCUAAAGGAAUUCAUGGCACUAACUAUGCAUCAUAAUGACUCUUUUUUAAAAACUGAGAAAGUUUGUUUUAAAAGGUAGUUAUCCAAAUCUUACUUCAAAAGAUUUGGAACUUUGCCAGGAGGGGCAGGACAAAGAUAUUUUUAACCAGCUACACAAAUGAUUCUGCUUUUCUGCAGAGUACAGGAACCUCUAGCUCCUAUAUUUGUUUCAUAAAUCAUAAAAAGGCAAUGUAAUUGUAUUUGUGACAUUAGUUUUGACUUCUGUUUUCAUUGGUUCUUUUUAACUAUACAUGACAAUAGAAUUCAUUUUGACAUAAUUAUAAAAGCAUUUUUAUAAUUUGUUCUAAUUCUGUCCCCAGUACAUCCACUUCUCCUUCCUUCCUCCCACUGUUCCCUUCCCUCUAUUCUAUUAGUCUUUCUGCUAUUUACUCAUAGUUGUAUUUUUUUAAUCAGCAUCUUGUCGAUGAACAUGAUGGUGGGAUUCACUGUGGCAUAUUCAUAUAUGUACACAGGAAUAUUAGGUCAGUGUCAUUCCUAUCCCAUCUCUCCUCUCUCCCUUUCAUUCCCCUUUGUCUACCCCACUGAUCAUUCUUCUACUGACUUCUGUUUCUUUUUUUUUUAUUUGUUCUCAUUAGCUAUACAUGACAGCAGAAUGCAUUUCGAUCAUUGUACAUAAAUGGAACACAACUUUUCAUUUCUCUUGUUGUACAUGAUGUAGAGUCAUACUGUAUAUGCAGUCACACAAGUACCUAGGGUAACAAUGUUCAUCUCAUUCCACCAGACUUCUGUUUCUAAAUGAAGACGACUUCCUAGGAUUUUAUCUACAAGUGAAAACCACCCAGCUUUUAAAAAUAAUGUACCCAUAAUUUAAGUCUUGAGGAUAGUCCCUACCGAGAAACAUGGACUUUUUCAUACAAGCAUCCUGUUUUUUAAAAAUAUAACCCUAAAUUAAAGGGAUGAAAAAAUGCCACUGCUUUCAUGAAACAAAUAAUGGAUGCCUUGUUUUCAUAAUAAACAUUUAAGAGAGCUUGUUCCUAAUGGAAACUAUUGUUACUGAUUAAAAAUCUUCUUGGGGAGGAAAAAAGUACCUUCAUAUACAAUCUCCAUUGGGGAUGCAAAUUGGACAGAAACAUACACCAAAGGAUUUGCAUUUAAUCAAAUCCAAAGCAAGUCAUUUCAGAAGCAUCUCCACUGAGUACAGAAGGCUUUUCCACUAGGAUAAGGCUGAGCUCUCCAGGGGAUCAGGAUCCCUUACCAAGGAGUGGACACCAUUUGCAGAGGCCCUGUACUGCUGCUUCUAAGAAGGAAAUUCACCAAAAUCAUCCAGAAUGGAGAGUGGUAAGUCAAGGUCAAUUGUUACAAUUUUUUUAAAAUUUAAUAAUUCUAAUUUUUAUUUUUGACAUCACAAAAUUAUAACACAAAGCAAAGGUAAAGAAGAAAUAGCACUAAUUUUGACUAGAACAUAUAAAAAUACUGACCAGAAACCAACUAUUUAGAACUCUUGGUAACAUGUUAACAAUUCUAGACACAUUUAAUUAUUAAUUAUUAGAUGUAAUUUUGCUGUAUUGAAUUUAGGUAUGUACUCUGAAAGAUCGAUUUAACUAACAUUAUUUUUAUAAAAUUAUUAUCUGAAUAUUAAUGCAUUAUUCUCUACAAUUGUGAAAUUUUAUGUUAAAUGAAACAACUUCUGUUAAGUCCUCAAUUAUGAAGUCCAGAAAUACCUUUAUUCAGGCAUCUUGCUUUCAGCUCUUAAGGCUAGGAUGAAAGGCAAUACACUAACACAUGAUAAGUAAGAGAUUCUCAUUUCCUGGAUUCAAACUACAUACAGAUCUUCAUCCUGAAGAUACGAGUAUUAGUGUCAAUAUAGAGAAUAAAACCCCACCUGUUCAGGAAUAAAUUUGAGAUAUAAACUUUAGCAUUUAAAAUGUUAAUAAAUAAUGACAGAUAAAAUAUUUCAAAAAUGCUUUGUAAGCUAUCUUGAAAAAAUAUUUUUUAAAAUCACAGAUCUUCUUAUCAAAAAGAUAAGGAGAUAGUUAGAAAAUCACCUAUCUUCUGCAACAUGGAAUUGGUUACUGGCAGUAGUGCUGUUUUGUGAUCCAACUAUGAGCCUUACAAGGUGGGAAUGGAGGGGAUGUCAGGAGAGACUGUGGAUAGCAAUAGUGUCGGCAAACCAAACUUCACCUAAAUCCUAAUAUAUUGACUAAUUUGGCCUUCCAUCCUUAAAAUUUUCAGUCUUUCUGAUUUCAUAAGCAGUAUGCAUUAUUUUCUAUUUAAUAAUUUGAACAUUUAAUUAGUGGACAAAUUUGGAGACUCUAUGUUGCCUCUCCUUGUAUCUCCUUGGAGGUUUCCCACAGUAAAACUAAUAUAUUCUCUUCCUAGAUCAGAAGUAGAAUACAAACAAUAGCUUCUAGCAUGCCCGGCACUAGUACUAUUUACUCCUGGGCAGACAUCUGCCUUCCCCUCAGUGAGAGGGCUCGAUCCUCAGCAAGGCAAGCCUGUUGGGGUGGAAAGAGAGGUCCCCAAAGGAUAAGAGGGGUAGCUUAGCCAGACAGUGACCCAACAUACCAUAUUGCCACUGCAUUUUCUGGAACCUCAUUGUUGGCCCUUUCCUGACAGGCAGAGAAUGGAACAAAGAUGCAGAAUAUCCAACAAUAACCCAUCAUUCGGAUUUUUACUCUGUUCUGUCUUGAUUGACAAUGUGCCUCCAUGCCAAAGUCACGAGGGAUGAUAGUUCAGAGACAUCAUCUACUAUCUUCAUUGUCCAGUUGCAGAACUCAAAAUAGAAAUGCUUCUUUUCUAAAGUAACUUUCUUUUUUAUUUGUGUUUGUUUCACGUGCUCUCUUUAUUUCCUUACCUUCUGUCACAAGCUUAGACUCUCUAAUGAAUUUCAAAGUAAAAAAUGCCCUCCACAAAAAUGUCAUCAGAAAUGUAGAAUUAGAAUGAAUUUCAAAUAUGGAAAGUGGACUUACCAUUUAAUCACUAAGAAUGGUUUAGGAAUCACCUGCAUUUUAAUUAUUAAAUCAAUUUCAGAAUAUACCAGUGUGAUUUGAUACAAAAAAAUGUUUAAUUUUCAAAAUAAUAUUAAAGUGAUAGCUGCAUUAAAUCUAUUAUGGACUAAACUCUCCAUCAAAAAAGGGGGAAGAAUAAGGAUGUCACAAGGCUAAAACAAUUUGCUGGGCUGGGGGCAUAGAUCAGUGGUAGAGCACUUGCCUAGCAGGCUCAAGACCUAGGUUUGAUCCCCAGCAUUGCAAAAAAUAAAAUAUUUUUUUCUAAUAAAAAUAAAAAAACAUUCUGCUGUAUGAACAUAAUUGCAAUCAUACAGUGCCAAAUUUUUAUUCCAAAUUCUAAAGGAAAAAUUGAUUGCUAUUGAUAAAUUUGCUUGUGCUUUCUCUCCGGAAACACUUGUCUUUGUUUUCUUAACAACUAAUCUGAAUGCAAGUUUGUAUCUAGAGGAUUUGAAUAAAAACUCUUAAGCUCUCCUGGUUUAUGCAGGUGUGGAUUCUUUAAAUAGACACAUGCACAGAAAAAAAAAUGUUUGAGACUAGGAAUACUGGCAAUAUUUUUUGAACUCUAUAUAUCAUGUCUGUCUUAAAAAAAAUAGAAAAGGAGAUUCAGAAAUUUCCCAGAACUCAAAAAUCAUGAAAAAUACUCCAGAUGGGAUUUUAAAUAAUUUGUUCAGGCUCCAUGCUUUGUCAAAGUCAAUUUCCCUUCUGAGCUGUUGUAAAGUGUAGGUGUUGGCCUUCCUGGACCACAGCAUGGGAGCAUCGUUUUAGCCAUGUUCCCAUGAAACCCCCAAAGAAAGGACAUCUCCACCUUUGUCUUAUGAAAGUAUUCUUUCCCAAGUUCUAAGCCCAUGGCCUUUCUUGCCUUCACUUUCCUCAAUUUCUCUAAGGCAUUUUGUAUAUACUACAAGCACUUAUUGAGAACCUGGGUGUCAGAUGCAUAACAGAACUGGUGGUAACCCACUUGCUCUCUGAUCCUUCUUCCUUCAUUCCCUUGAUGUUUCUGCUCUGGUACACAGUGACCUUUUGGGCCUUGCCCCUUCCCCCACCCUGCACCCCUCCCACAGUGGCCCUUCUCCGUCCCUUCCUUCCCCUGGGCUCAGAACUGCAGCCAUUUCCCAAUGCUCUGUACUUGAACUGUACUCUUCUAUUGCAAAGUCCACCUUGGAAAACUUUAUUUUCAUUGCUUUAAUUCUCAUAGUUUUUAAGAUGUUUCUUGGAUGUAGAGUUCUAGCCCAGGUUCUAGUUUUAGGUACGGGAUAUUUUUAAUUUAAUUUGAUUAUGUCACCACAACCUCAAAGUCAACAUAGUCAAAAUUGAAUUCUUCUUUCCCUAUCAGAAUCAACACUCUACUCUGCCUUCUUAGAUUUCUCCUCUUAAUCAUGGUGUUGUUUUAUUGUGUGUGUGUGUUGUUGUUUUUGUUGUUGUUUUUCUCUUAAAUCUGCCCUUUCCCUGUCACAUCCAGGUUUGAGGCUAGCCUCUGUUUGUAAUUUCUUACUCCCUCCACUUCUUCAUCUUUAGCCAUUCUAGGAUCUACGCUCAGAUCCAUCUUUCAAAAAAUUUUUCAACUCUUCCAAAAAAUAUGAUACACAAUAUUCUUAUGUUGAAAAAAAUCUAAUUGUUUCCAUCACCUAUGACAUAAAGCAUAAUCAUGCCCUAACUGCAUGAAGGACAGCGCUUCCAUGAUAUUGUGUCACCUAGUGACAUCAUAGUCAUUUUAAAUUGUAUAAGUACACUCUCUGGUGUUUGCACAAUGAUGAAAUCACCUAACGACACAUUUCUCAGAACACGUUCCAGUCUCUAAGCAAUGUAUGACUACAUAUAUUUAUAUAGUCAGGUUUUUAAGAUCUUCAGCACCUCAUUAUCAACAGCAACAACAAAAUGCUUUCAACAGAUGUUUACUGGAAAGCUGCGUGGAACUUAAGAGUCUUGCAAGGAGCAAACAAUAAAUCUCUACAUACAAAAAUUUUACAGAACUUUAUAAAGUGGCAAGUGCUACAUGGGAAUAAGUAGUGCAGGAUAAGGGGGAUCAAGCAAAUUUUAUGAGGAAGGUGCAAACUGAAAUAUGUUCUCAUUGAGAAGCUGACAUUUGAGCCAAGACUUGAAGGAGGAAAGAAUAGUUAGCCAUGUGGAUAAAAGGAGGAAGAAUAUUCUAGCUGGUAGACGUGGCCAGUGCAAAGUCUCAAGGCAAAAGUGCUUGGUACAUUUCAGAAAACUGGCUACAGUACAAUGGGCAAAGAGUAGAACCUUGGGAAACGAGAACAGAGGUAUAAGCAUAGGGUCACAUAGGACCAUUUUAAGGACUGUGGCUUUUACUCUGAGUGAAAUGAAGAACCACUGUAGGAUUUUGAAAAGAGCAGUGACCAAAUUGGACUUUCUUUUUUGAAAGGAUCACUAUGGCUGCUCUGUUGAAAGCAGACUGAACCAGGGGUGAAGGGUAGUACAGGAGGACCAGUAGAAGGCUCCUGCAAUAAUCUCCAUUAAAUGACAAUAGAGAGAACCUGGAUAUUAGAGAUGGAGGUGAAGAUAAGUCAGCAGACUCUGGAUCUAUUGUGUAGGUGGCCCUAUUGUGUAUUCCCAAAAAAAUGGUUGUGAAGUUGUAAAGGACUCCAGCCUUGAAAUUGAGAAACUAAAAGGAUGGAGUUGCCAUCAACCGAGGUGGAGAGGACUUCAGGUAAAACCAAAAUGAAUGGGAAGAAUGAAAGUUCAGAUUUGGACAUGUAGAAUUUGAGAUGUCUACGGACAUGCAAAUAUAGGUGGAUAUCCAAGUCUCAAGUCCAGGUCAGAGCUGGGCUAUCCAUUUGAAGUUCAUCUAUGUCUACAAGAAGUUCUGAUCUGGUUAUUUGCCAUCUUGUAAAUUUCAUUCCUCUAUUAAUUACUAUGUAGUUAUUUUUUAAACUUAUUUAGAAGAGGCAUAUUUCCCCUAAGCUCUUUGGCAUACACAGAAAGUAUGAAUCACUAAUUCAGAUUGAAGUCAUCACUUAAAAAGCCUUUCAGAAUAAAGGGAAGCCAAGACUGUCUGGGAACACACAAAUGACCCAGCCUGGACCUCUUCUUCAACUCCGCCCCCUCCUCCUCCACAGGCCCAAGUCCACACCUACUAUCAAUCACUCAGAUGUUCCCCUUCUUGCUCAACCAGAACUGCCUGAAUUUAGAAUUGCCCCCCGCCCAACACACUCUGCCACACACAGGAACCUCACUCAUAAAGAUAUUCGUAGUUCUCAAACUUCAGAGAACACCAUGGUUAGUUAAACCCAUUCCUAAGGUUUCUAGGGUGCUUUGGGGUAGGACCUGAGAAUCUACAUUCCUACUAAGUUUCUAGCCAAUGUUGAUACUGAAGGUCUAGGAAUCAAACUUUGAGAAUCACCUGUGCUUAUUCUUGAUUUGACUCAUCUAUCUGGUUCUGACCCUUGCCUUCUUCCAACCUUGAGUGUCUGAGUUACUCUCCUCCUCCAGGCUGCUGCAUGUAUAUUGGGGCUGUCUUAGUCCCUGGCAAUACCAUUCUUCCCCACUUACCACCCACCCUUCCUUAUUUUAGUGUCAGAGGCUGAGGACCAAUUUGUGUCCUUGAUUCCACUAUAUGUCUUCCUCUUUGAAGUCUCCUUCUCUCAUUUUUCCCCUUUUCCAAAAUCUUAAGUCUUUCCCUCCAUUCCAUUCAAAUAUCCUCAAUUCCCACUACUGAUAAAUACACAGAGUUAUAAAGCAUAAGCAAACCUCUCUGUGACAAUGUAAUUCCUUCCAACCAUCACCCAAUCUCUUGCUUCCCCUUCUCAUUCAAACUUCAAGAAGUAGUCGUCUCUCUCUCUCCUGUUUCCACUUCCUCCCCUGAAUUAUUGCCUGGGUUCUAGCCACACACACUUCCAAAAUCACUGUUGCUGAGGUCAACACCAGCCACUGGAUUGAAAGCAAUGGAUGCUUUUCCAUCUUUAUCUUCCUAGACCACUUGUACUGGCAUCCAAUACUUUUCCUCCUUCCCCCCAUCCCCUGGAAGUCUCUGCCUAAGUUCUACGUGCCUUAUUCCCCCUGGCUUUUACUGGAUCUUUUCCAACCAUCUUCAUGUGUCCUCUUCAUAAGGCUUUCUUCUCCUCCUCUGACAGCCCUUCAAAUAGAAGUGCUCCCCAGAUUUUCAUCUUGAAUCAUUCAGUACCGAGCUUCCCAACCAACCUGUCAGAAAUCAGUGCUCAGGGCCUUCCCUAGAUGCUGAUCCUCUCAGCCCUUGCGAGUACCCCAGCCUGUUAUCCCAGAGUGCCAGACACAUUAUUGUUUUCUCCGUAUGUCAUCAUGUGACUGUCACAGGCUCCCUCGGGGAUUCCAUCCUCCUCCCUGGUUUCAAUUGUCAUCAGUGUCAUGAUGACUCUGAAACUUACAUCCUAGAGCCAUAGUGGAAGCUUGAGAAUCACCUGGAGUCUUCCCUCUCCUUUCUUUCCCAUACCUACAUAAUUUUACACCUAUCUGAUCCUUGCCUGCUUAUCUCAGACCCCAGCACCUCUUGCCUGAAUUAUUCCAGAAUCCUCCUGACUGAUCUCUAUGAGUCUUUAUGAUUCUCAAAUCUACCUUCCACACAGCUGCCAGAAGAGUCUAUCCAAAAAUGCAAAUGUAACUACACCACUCCCUGGCUUAAGAGCCUCCAGUGGCUCUUAAUUGCCGACAGGAUGAAGUCCAAGCUCCUGUAUACCAGAAACACCAUGGUUAGUUAAACCUUACUUUUUUCCCCAGCCUCACUUCCUCCCUCACACCUCUUUCUGUUCUGCAGUCCAGACCUUUACCCAGGCUGCCUGUACAUCUGGAAUGUUCUUGCCUUCUAGAGUCAUCUAGAAGGUCAGGCCCCAUUCCUAGGGUUUCACCUCCCCCAGGCCUUCUCUGUUAAGCCUCAGCUCAGAGGCUGUCCCAGUCCUCUCCCUGCUCCCCCAGGAAGCGGCGCAGUCUGUUUCUCAGAAUAUCUUAGCCUUAUUUCUAUUGUAGCAUCACAAUUAUCUAUAAUAUAUUUCUCUUCCAAUAGAUACCAUGUUCUUUUGUAUUCUGUCAACACAUAGAAAAUAGUCAAUAAAUAACUGAUAAAUAAAUGUAGCCUUAGGCUGUUCAAAAAAAUAAAUAAAUAAGAUACUCUCAAUUCUAGAAGCAACAUUUAGAUUCCUUUGGAACAAACCUCUGGUCUUUGUGUUUUAUGUUUGAGACUUAUUUGAAAGGAGUACUUCAAGCCUCUUUAAUUAAAACACAGACAGGGGCUGGGGAUAUAGCUCAGUGAUAGAGUGCUUGCUUUUCAUGCAUAAGGCCCUGGGUUCAACCCCAGCACCACACACACACACACACACACACAAAAGACAGACAUACCAAAAUUAGGCCAAAGGACCCUUCAAAUAAUUUUGUUUUGUUUAAAUCAGGUUGUAUGUGGUUUUCUUUGAAUUAUGUUUUGGAACAUAGAUUUUUUCAACUCCUGCCCUCCUCCCCAUUCCUCCACAGCCCCAAGUCCACACCUACCAUCAAUCAUUUGGAUAUUCUCCUUCUUGCUCAACCAGGACUGCCUGGGUUUACAGGCCCAGAAACUUGGUAGUUUCCAAAGCAUUUUCAUAUGCAUAUAUUAUUUUUUACUUACAAACCUCUGAAUAUAGCAAAAAAGAGAUCAUAUCCAUUUUAACAGGGGGAAAAAUGAAACUGAAAAAAUUGUGAUUUUUUUUUUCCCCAAGUCAGUGACUAACAUGUAGCUGUGUAAACCCUGACUCAGGCCAUCAACUUCCCCCACCCAUUGCACCACCCUGCCUCUGGUUAUAACUUCAGUUAUUUUGUUGUUGUUUGUUUUGUUUGUUUUUUUUCCCUUUCUUUCUUCCUCUCAUUCUUUUUGUGAUACAAUUUUAUUUGUAUGUCAAGUAUCUGUAAAUUCAGAUUAGAGAAUAUUUUUGGUUAUGUGCUUCAUACAUUUAUAUACUAAUAACUUCUGCCAUAUAUGUUGAUGCUAAAUUCUGUCCCAGCUGACUUGGCUGGAAAGCCAGCCACACUUCAAUUAAAAGGGAUUGAAGCCAUCCAACCUACUACAGAAUACCAAUUCAAUAGGCAAAAUGUAUCUUGAAAUGUGUCUAGUUCAAUCACUAACUUGGUGUUUAAAUGCUUUCUAAAACAGUUCAAACAGUUCUCCCGCCAUUGCUUGAUUAUCCCCAGUGACACGGAGCUCACAAUCCCUAGAAGGGACGUUGACAAAUUUUAGAACCAUGAAAUAGGUUUUCUCUAUAUCUUCAUGCAAUUUCCUCUUGCUAAAAGUGAAAUAGUCAAUGUAAAUUGCAAAUCACUAUGAUAUCUUCAGUAAGUGCAUGUAGCAAGUGCUCAAAAAUUAUUUGUUAAGUGAACAAAUAACUCUUCCCUUACUGUUGGCUAGUUUUAAAGCAGUAAUUCCUCAUGUCACCAUAUUUUUAAAAACAAAGCACACUCUUUUAGUGUAGUAAAUAAAUGACUUUCCUCUUAGGAAUGAUCAUCCAGUUGACCUGCUCCUUCAUCAGGUACCAAGAUGUGGGACAGCCAAACAGCCUGUGACCUGAGUCAUGCAAAUCUAACUUCUUCUACAUGUAAUAAGAAUCAUUAUUUCAAUUUCUAUCCAAUCCCUUAUCUGGUGAUUAAAACCUAAGUUAUCAAUCUUGCUGGAGUAAAUCUUGACAAAUCAAAGUAGAAAAAAAGAGGACAUUUUAAAGAGCUCUUGUGCAGAAGACACAGAGUGUUUCUUGUUUUACUUAUACAGAGCCUGGGUGAGUUUCCAUCAAGGACCAGAGUUUGGACUCUACUGAAGCCACUUCAUAUUCCAGAUCUCUACUAUUUGAAUGGGAAAACGGCAUCAAGAUUAUUAACCCUGAGUACAUCCCUGGGAGGUUGACCUUACUACCCCAUCUAGAUCUGACUGACUAUCCUCUUUGCUUAAGUCCCAGGAGAUUACAGCAAACGAGUAUACCAAGGCGUGAGAGUGAAGCACACGGUCAAAGAUCUCCUGGCAGAAAAACGAUCCAGACAGAGUGACUCCAGACUUAACGUGAGUCCCAGCUUGACACACACUG
This 11583-nucleotide long non-coding RNA is filed under the name Marmota monax (woodchuck). The stretch from base 9777 to 9844 matches the Rfam family "tRNA". The record is from RNAcentral. Lineage: Eukaryota; Metazoa; Chordata; Mammalia; Rodentia; Sciuridae.